ACCAGACUCCUACGGGAGGCAGCAGUGAGGAAUAUUGGUCAAUGGUCGGGAGACUGAACCAGCCAAGCCGCGUGAGGGAGGAAGGUACAGAGUAUCGUAAACCUCUUUUGUCAGGGAACAAAGGCGGGGACGUGUCCCCGGAUGAGUGUACCUGAAGAAAAAGCAUCGGCUAACUCCGUGCCAGCAGCCGCGGUAAUACGGAGGAUGCGAGCGUUAUCCGGAUUUAUUGGGUUUAAAGGGUGCGCAGGCGGAGGUGCAAGUCAGCGGUCAAAUUGCGGGGCUCAACCCCGUACUGCCGUUGAAACUGGUUUUCUAGAGUUGGAGAGAAGUAUGCGGAAUUCGUGGUGUAGCGGUGAAAUGCAUAGAUAUCACGAAGAACUCCGAUUGCGAAGGCAGCAUACCGGCUCCAUACUGACGCUGAGGCACGAAAGCGUGGGGAUCGAACAGGAUUAGAUACCCCUGUAGA
RNAcentral lists this ribosomal RNA (466 nucleotides) under uncultured bacterium. RNAcentral describes it as "bacterial SSU rRNA". It matches the Rfam family "Bacterial small subunit ribosomal RNA", at positions 330 to 794 of the family's 1533-position model. The record is from RNAcentral.